GGAUGUGGGCGCCGGCCUGGCCUCGGCAGGCGGCAGAGCUCAACAUUGUGGUUCCGGGUUCCUGGAGAUCACGGGGCCGCGGCGGCUGUUUCCCGUAAAUCGCCGCCGCCGCCGCCGCCGCGUUCGCUUCCCGCUGUGUGCCAGAAACCCCCUCCUGAGAAUAGCCGGAGGUGAAGUUGUAGAUAUGGAUGACCACCAUGAAGCAAAAGAUGAGACGCGGUGUGCAACAUCACAAGAGAAAACAAAAGUCAGAGAGGAAAGUAAAAGGAAACGGAAGCGAAGCAGAAGCAGAUCCUCCUCCAUCUCUUCCUCUACAUCUUCUAGUUCUUCUACAUCCUCCUCUUCCAGGUCUUCUUCCAGGUCUUCUGCCUCGCAAAGCAGAAGCAGUUCAAGUAGCAGAGGUAGGAUUAUGUUGUGAGUUAUGAAAUUCAUUCUUUAGAUGCUGCCUUUAGAUGUUAUAUA
This 462-nucleotide long non-coding RNA is filed under the name Notechis scutatus (mainland tiger snake). Its description in RNAcentral is "lncRNA (ENSNSUG00000012938.1)". Lineage: Eukaryota; Metazoa; Chordata; Lepidosauria; Squamata; Elapidae. The record is from RNAcentral.